UACAACAUUACAAUGAUGAUUUUCUUUCUGAAAUGCUGGACCAUAUGAGAUGCCAAUAGUUCCAAUUGGAGGACUGUUCUGCAGGCACAGCAGACUGCAGAAAUCAGCAAGUAAGAACAGGCCUCCACGCUCCACAGGCUUCUCCACAGGUUGCAGUGCCCAAAAUAAAUAUGUGGCCCCGCCCAAUUCAUUACUUCUCUCACCUCCCGUCAAAUUCUGCCAGCUGCUCUUCAGCAUUCAUUGGAUCCAUACAAGGGUCUGAUUACAUGCAUUCGUGAUUCUGCCGCCUCGUCAAUCUUUGGCUCAGCUUUGCCUAAAGUUCAAUGUCAACCUUGAAAUUUAUCCCAAAUAAGGCACUUUGCAAUCACCAGUAGUCCCCACAAGAACACAACCCGUCCUUAAAAUGAUGAAAUCUAUUAGCGUCCCUCAGAAUAAUCUCCCUUCUUGUCACUUUAGCUAUUAAUUUAAUUGCAGAGUGGCAGUCACCACAAACCCGAAGGUUUUUCAUGACACGAAUGGGCAUCCCUUCUGGCACCUUCAAAAGUCCAUAUGCCACAGCCAGUUUCUCACUGUGAUAGCGUAGGCUAUGAACCUUCUCUUCCUCAUCCACAUCAUGCAGCACAAAGCUACCAUCAGGACAAUAGCCAAUUUCUCUUAAUAAUCCACCUAGCUUUUCCAAUAUUUUCAAUAUCGCUGCAUGCUCAGGAUGUCCGGUGCUAUCUCCCCCAGUGAACAUAUGCACUUUCUUCUCUACUUCAAUCCAACUACAACCGGGUGGUUUGCUUACAUUUCUGGCUCUCAUGGAUUUUCUCAACUCAGCUACAUCUUCCCAUCUACCUUGGGAUGCAUAGAUAUUUGAAAGCAAGAUGCGAGGCCCAGCAUUUUCAGGCUCAAGCUCUAAAAGUUUCCUUGCUGCAACUUCAGCUAAAUCCAACUUCUUAUGGGUUUUACAUCCACCUAAUAAAGCACCCCAAACAAUAGCAUCUGCUUUCAUAGGCAUAUUUCCAAUUAAACUCAUUGCCUCAUUUAGCCUUCCUGCUCUGCCAAGUAGAUCAACCAUGCAAGCAUAAUGC
This 1073-nucleotide unclassified non-coding RNA is filed under the name Hevea brasiliensis (rubber tree). Lineage: Eukaryota; Viridiplantae; Streptophyta; Magnoliopsida; Malpighiales; Euphorbiaceae. The record is from RNAcentral.